This is a long non-coding RNA of Lagopus leucura (white-tailed ptarmigan), 235 nucleotides long. RefSeq lists it as uncharacterized. The transcript has 3 exons. The record is from RefSeq and is a predicted model, not a curated record. Lineage: Eukaryota; Metazoa; Chordata; Aves; Galliformes; Phasianidae.
GGAGAGACUGUGGCUGACAGAAAUGGCCAUCCUUCCCCUGGAGACUUGCUUUUGGCUGCACAUGAAGGCAGAAGUUUUGGCUUCUCAGAACUUAGGAAUAUUAAGGUCCUGCAAGUAGAUCACCCCAGAUUUCAACACUGCUGAAAUCCAUUGUCUAAAGGGAGUCUAAAAACCGUUUGUUGGACAACUGGGAGACUAUUGCAUGAAAUCUGCACUGGCCGGUGCACUGCGUCCU